AGAUUGAACGCUGGCGGCAGGCCUAACACAUGCAAGUCGAGCGGUAGAGAGGUGCUUGCACCUCUUGAGAGCGGCGGACGGGUGAGUAAUGCCUAGGAAUCUGCCUAGUGGUGGGGGAUAACGUUCGGAAACGGACGCUAAUACCGCAUACGUCCUACGGGAGAAAGCGGGGGACCUUCGGGCCUCGCGCCAUUAGAUGAGCCUAGGUCGGAUUAGCUAGUUGGUGAGGUAAUGGCUCACCAAGGCGACGAUCCGUAACUGGUCUGAGAGGAUGAUCAGCCACACUGGAACUGAGACACGGUCCAGACUCCUACGGGAGCAGCAGUGGGGAAUAUU
This 336-nucleotide ribosomal RNA is filed under the name uncultured soil bacterium. RNAcentral's name for it is "bacterial SSU rRNA". It matches the Rfam family "Bacterial small subunit ribosomal RNA", at positions 26 to 365 of the family's 1533-position model. The record is from RNAcentral.